Molecule: ribosomal RNA, 1440 nt
Filed under: Campylobacter jejuni
Lineage: Bacteria; Pseudomonadati; Campylobacterota; Epsilonproteobacteria; Campylobacterales; Campylobacteraceae
Description: partial 23S ribosomal RNA
Rfam family: Bacterial large subunit ribosomal RNA
Source: RNAcentral
AGGUAAGCUACUAAGAGCGAAUGGUGGAUGCCUUGACUGGUAAAGGCGAUGAAGGACGUACUAGACUGCGAUAAGCUACGGGGAGCUGUCAAGAAGCUUUGAUCCGUAGAUUUCCGAAUGGGGCAACCCAAUGUAUAGAGAUAUACAUUACCUAUAUAGGAGCGAACGAGGGGAAUUGAAACAUCUUAGUACCCUCAGGAAAAGAAAUCAAUAGAGAUUGCGUCAGUAGCGGCGAGCGAAAGCGCAAGAGGGCAAACCCAGUGCUUGCACUGGGGGUUGUAGGACUGCAAUGUGCAAGAGGUAAGUUUAGCAGAACAUUCUGGAAAGUAUAACCAUAGAGGGUGAUAGUCCCGUAUGCGAAAAACAAACCUUAGCUAGCAGUAUCCUGAGUAGGGCGGGACACGAGGAAUCCUGUCUGAAUCCGGGUCGACCACGAUCCAACCCUAAAUACUAAUACCAGAUCGAUAGUGCACAAGUACCGUGAGGGAAAGGUGAAAAGAACUGAGGUGAUCAGAGUGAAAUAGAACCUGAAACCAUUUGCUUACAAUCAUUCAGAGCCCUAUGUAGCAAUACAGGGUGAUGGACUGCCUUUUGCAUAAUGAGCCUGCGAGUUGUGGUGUCUGGCGAGGUUAAGCAAACGCGAAGCCGUAGCGAAAGCGAGUCUGAAUAGGGCGCUUAGUCAGAUGCUGCAGACCCGAAACGAAGUGAUCUAUCCAUGAGCAAGUUGAAGCUAGUGUAAGAACUAGUGGAGGACUGAACCCAUAGGCGUUGAAAAGCCCCGGGAUGACUUGUGGAUAGGGGUGAAAGGCCAAUCAAACUUCGUGAUAGCUGGUUCUCUCCGAAAUAUAUUUAGGUAUAGCGUUGUGUCGUAAUAUAAGGGGGUAGAGCACUGAAUGGGCUAGGGCAUACACCAAUGUACCAAACCCUAUCAAACUCCGAAUACCUUAUAUGUAAUCACAGCAGUCAGGCGGCGAGUGAUAAAAUCCGUCGUCAAGAGGGAAACAACCCAGACUACCAGCUAAGGUCCCUAAAUCUUACUUAAGUGGAAAACGAUGUGAAGUUACUUAAACAACCAGGAGGUUGGCUUAGAAGCAGCCAUCCUUUAAAGAAAGCGUAAUAGCUCACUGGUCUAGUGAUUUUGCGCGGAAAAUAUAACGGGGCUAAAGUAAGUACCGAAGCUGUAGACUUAGUUUACUAAGUGGUAGGAGAGCGUUCUAUUUGCGUCGAAGGUAUACCGGUAAGGAGUGCUGGAGCGAAUAGAAGUGAGCAUGCAGGCAUGAGUAGCGAUAAUUAAUGUGAGAAUCAUUAACGCCGUAAACCCAAGGUUUCCUACGCAAUGCUCGUCAUCGUAGGGUUAGUCGGGUCCUAAGUCGAGUCCGAAAGGGGUAGACGAUGGCAAAUUGGUUAAUAUUCCAAUACCAACAUUAGUGUGCGAUGGAA